Molecule: small nuclear RNA, 103 nt
Filed under: Carlito syrichta (Philippine tarsier)
Lineage: Eukaryota; Metazoa; Chordata; Mammalia; Primates; Tarsiidae
Source: RNAcentral
UUGCUUCAGCAGCAAAUAUAAUAAAAUUGGAGCAAUUCAGAGAAGAUUCACAUGACCCCUGUGAAAGGAUGAUGAGUGAAUUUGUGAAGUUUUCAUAUAUAUA